GACGAACGCUGGCGGCGUGCCUAAAACAUGCAAGUCGAACGGUGGAGCAAUCCACAGUGGCGAACGGCGGAGUAAUACAUGAACAACGUGCCCUAAAGACUGGGAUAGUCAGGGGAAACCCUGGGUAAUACCAGAUGUGGCCAUCUCGCGGCAUCACGAGAUGAUCAAACGGUUUUUCGCUUUGGGAGCGGUUCAUGGCCUAUCAGGUAGUUGGUGAGGUAACGGCUCACCAAGCCGACGACGGGUAGCGGGUCUGAGAGGAUGAUCCGCUCGAGUG
RNAcentral lists this ribosomal RNA (277 nucleotides) under uncultured bacterium. Its description in RNAcentral is "partial 16S ribosomal RNA". It matches the Rfam family "Bacterial small subunit ribosomal RNA", at positions 28 to 315 of the family's 1533-position model. The record is from RNAcentral.